AGAUGGGAGCUUGCUCCCUGAUGUUAGCGGCGGACGGGUGAGUAACACGUGGGUAACCUGCCUGUAAGACUGGGAUAACUCCGGGAAACCGGGGCUAAUACCGGAUGCUUGUUUGAACCGCAUGGUUCAAACAUAAAAGGUGGCUUCGGCUACCACUUACAGAUGGACCCGCGGCGCAUUAGCUAGUUGGUGAGGUAAUGGCUCACCAAGGCAACGAUGCGUAGCCGACCUGAGAGGGUGAUCGGCCACACUGGGACUGAGACACGGCCCAGACUCCUACGGGAGGCAGCAGUAGGGAAUCUUCCRCAAUGGACGAAAGUCUGACGGAGCAACGCCGCGUGAGUGAUGAAGGUUUUCGGAUCGUAAAGCUCUGUUGUUAGGGAAGAACAAGUACCGUUCGAAUAGGGCGGUACCUUGACGGUACCUAACCAGAAAGCCACGGCUAACUACGUGCCA
Molecule: ribosomal RNA, 456 nt
Filed under: Bacillus halotolerans
Lineage: Bacteria; Bacillati; Bacillota; Bacilli; Caryophanales; Bacillaceae
Description: bacterial SSU rRNA
Rfam family: Bacterial small subunit ribosomal RNA
Source: RNAcentral